GUGGGGAAUAUUGGACAAUGGGCGAAAGCCUGAUCCAGCCAUGCCGCGUGUGUGAAGAAGGUCUUCGGAUUGUAAAGCACUUUAAGUUGGGAGGAAGGGCAGUAAGUUAAUACCUUGCUGUUUUGACGUUACCAACAGAAUAAGCACCGGCUAACUUCGUGCCAGCAGCCGCGGUAAUACGAAGGGUGCAAGCGUUAAUCGGAAUUACUGGGCGUAAAGCGCGCGUAGGUGGUUCAGCAAGUUGGAGGUGAAAUCCCCGGGCUCAACCUGGGAACUGCCUCCAAAACUACUGAGCUAGAGUACGGUAGAGGGUAGUGGAAUUUCCUGUGUAGCGGUGAAAUGCGUAGAUAUAGGAAGGAACACCAGUGGCGAAGGCGACUACCUGGACUGAUACUGACACUGAGGUGCGAAAGCGUGGGGAGCAAACAGGAUUAGAUACCCGAGUAGUCC
RNAcentral lists this ribosomal RNA (450 nucleotides) under uncultured bacterium. Its description in RNAcentral is "bacterial SSU rRNA". It matches the Rfam family "Bacterial small subunit ribosomal RNA", at positions 354 to 796 of the family's 1533-position model. The record is from RNAcentral.